This 72-nucleotide transfer RNA is filed under the name Paraconexibacter algicola. It matches the Rfam family "tRNA". From Rfam's summary of the family: Transfer RNA (tRNA) molecules are approximately 80 nucleotides in length. Their secondary structure includes four short double-helical elements and three loops (D, anti-codon, and T loops). Lineage: Bacteria; Bacillati; Actinomycetota; Thermoleophilia; Solirubrobacterales; Paraconexibacteraceae. The record is from Rfam by way of RNAcentral.
GCCCCCAUGGUGUAACGGUUAGCACACGAGAUUUUCAUUCUCGCAGCCGGGGUUCGACUCCCCGUGGGGGUA